This 253-nucleotide ribosomal RNA is filed under the name uncultured bacterium. RNAcentral describes it as "partial 16S ribosomal RNA". It matches the Rfam family "Bacterial small subunit ribosomal RNA", at positions 524 to 776 of the family's 1533-position model. The record is from RNAcentral.
UACAGAGGGUGCGAGCGUUGUCCGGAAUCACUGGGCGUAAAGGGCGCGUAGGCGGCCUGAUAAGUAGGGGGUGAAAUCCCGGGGCUCAACUCCGGGGCUGCAGGUGAGACUGCGUGGCUAGAGCACGGUAGAGGCGAGUGGAAUUCCCGGUGUAGCGGUGGAAUGCGUAGAUAUCGGGAAGAACACCGGUGGCGAAGGCGGCUCGCUGGGCCGUUGCUGACGCUGAGGCGCGAAAGCGUGGGGAGCGAUCCGG